Molecule: unclassified non-coding RNA, 2348 nt
Filed under: Hevea brasiliensis (rubber tree)
Lineage: Eukaryota; Viridiplantae; Streptophyta; Magnoliopsida; Malpighiales; Euphorbiaceae
Source: RNAcentral
AAAAACGUAGUAUUUAGACCACUUAAUUAUGAACACAAUUAUUAUUCUCAAGUAAUUAUAGAUAGCUUCCUGUCCCUUCCAGUUUUACUGCUCCAUUGCAUCUCAACACUCCUUAUUCUGCAUACUCUAGAUACCAUGUGAACAUUGUAAAAUACAGUUUUUCACUAUAUAACAAACAUUUCAAUACCAUUGGAUCUGAAAGACGAUCAAAAUGGGGGUUAAAACUUCCAUAUACUGCAUAUAAUGCAGUUUUGAUACAACCAUUACAAAUCUCUCUGCGUCAAAGUUCAAAAAAGUACAGCCGCCAAUACCCACAGCCAGUGCUGAUGUGGGUCAAGAGCUCGUAUGGGUAAAUAGACGAGACUGUAUGCAGUAUACUUCUAAUCAUAUAUUUCAAUUCAUUUAGCUUUUGAUGAGUCACUUGGAAGUUGUAAUUUUAAGCUCCUCCUAAGAAAAUCAGACAACUUUGCACUGGCAGCAUGCCCUCGCUCUAGACACUUGAGAUAUUCUUCCACUGACAUCAAACCAUGGGUGACAGAGGUGAUGAUCCCAUGUUCCACAGGUUCACCUUCCACAAGCAAUGACCCUUCUGGUAGAACAGAGUGAAUUGAGUUUGGGAAGACUAAAAAUGCAAAUCCCUUCAUUUUCUGCUAAAACAAAAAAAAGCCAUGCAUGAGCUAAGGGUAAUUCAAGUACAGUGAAGAAGCACCAAACUAGUUUCUGUCUUCAACCUGAAUAAAGCUUUGCAGUUUGCACCCUACACAAUUACUAAGAAUGGGUUCAUUGCUUAUAAAUCUGAAAACUUGAAACUUGUGCAGAACUAAGGUUUAUCUUUAGGAUGGCCUCCGUCAGCCAGAUAAAUUAUCACCAUAACUUCAAUUACAAUGAUGGAUAAGACAUUAAAAGCUAAGACUGGUAUUGUGAAACCUGUUCUUCCAAUUUGGUGGGAUCCAGUAUAACAUAUCCAUCUUCUGCCAAACAACAACAUAUUGCAACUGCACAAACCAUUAUGGCUUUAGUCACAAAAUAUCAAGCCAAUAAUUCAAGGAGGCGAUGACUGUAAGUCUCAAUUACCAGCAAGAUGCUUUAUAGGAAUUCCAGCAUCCACAAGGGCAGCACAUGCUGCAUUUAUGGCACAUGUCAGAAGCUACACAAAUUUCAGUCAAGAAUACACUCACUGUAUCGAUUGCUCACAGAACUAAAGGAAUAAGGAGGAGCUCACUGCUCAGCAUCCAUCAAAAUGCUUGUUCCAUGGUCAUGAAAAAAUUGCAUUUUUUCUUUUUGGCAGGUACAUAUGUUUUUUUCAGCAUUAUACGAACUGGAAAGAGUCCAUGUGAAGCAAAAAUCUCCUGGAAUAUAACUUUUAUUGCCGCUUAAUGAUUGACAUGUAAUGCCACUAGGCUUAUUAUUACUUAAAUGAUGUCAAUUUAGAAGGUUAAAAGUACACAAUUUUUGUUUGAGGGCUCAAAGGCAACAACUUAAAAAGUGCAGUGGCAAAAUUAUGAGUUUAGUCAUCAUAUCAUACAUUAUACAAAUGCAAUGAUAUAGUAGCAAUCUUUAAGCCUGCCACAUGAUAUAGAACCCAACAAGAGAGAGAAAUAGAUGUAGAAUUGUAAGUCCCAUAUUAAAAAUUUGAAAAGAGAAAUAACCAGUGCAGCAUCUAUAAAAUAAUUAUAAAAGCAAAGAAAGAAAGAAAGAAAGUUAGAAGAAGAAAGACGGAGAGAAGGUGAGCAGUGAGCCUUCAUUUGAGCAUGAUGGCACUAUUUCAUCAUUAAACAGAGACAUGCAAUUAUAAAGGAUACAGCACCAUCAUCAUGAACAACCUGAACUAUAACUGAUGUGGUUGUAUUCGGGUUGAUAGUCAAAAUGCAUAUGCUCUGCAAAGUUCUCUUCAGUAUCAUCUCAUAUUCUUUUUCCAGUUUUCCAAUCUGUCCUGUUUUAGGCUUCCAAAUGACUUCAAUGCAGGCCUUCUCAGGGUUCUCAUUCUUCUUUGUUCCGGCUUUAGGUCCAUAAACAGCAGCUAGAACCUUUGUAUCUCCCUGAGACCAACUAGCAGAGCCAUGGGCACGGUGAAGGAUGUUACGGGAGCAAGCGAGAGGUCUCAGCUGGUUCGGCGUACGGCCAUCUGCCCUAUCAAUCUCCAUCAUUUCGCUCACACUCACAGAAGCCUACAAACUUUUUCUUCUUUAGGGAAUUGCGGUUUCUUACAAUCGAUGGAAAAUUCGCCACCGAAGAUGACUUAAGAAAUGGGGAAAUUAAUUAACAAAUGUAAAGGAUGCAAGCAAGCUGGGGAUGUUUCAAGUAGGGCUAAGCAUUUGGUCUGUUUGGCCGAUCCGAACCGACCAAAG